AAUGGGAUGUCUCUGGAGGACAUGUCACAGGGCGAACCAUGGCUGCCACAUUGUUGCCCAUAAAGUCAAACAGAAGGAACAAGCACUAGGCCUGACCAGGCAGGAUGUACACCAGCAGCUGCCUCCCAAUGCUUCAAGGUACCAAGAAUUGAGGAAUGCGUUCAAUAUUCUUUACUCCUUGGAAGCCAUCAAUCUUGAGGGUCUUUCAUCUGCAUCAAAAGCCUUCAUUAUAGGUGCCCCAACUUCAUGUGGCCCAUCUGAGAGACCUCCUGAGUUCCCCAAUAACAACUGAAGAUCUCCAUCUUUGAGUACUGUGCACACUGAAGUGUAAUACUCCGCAUGUGAACUGGAAAGGAUCAGAGUCAACUCACCACAUCAUCUGUCUUCCAUUCUCUAAACUCUUGGUAUUUUUUUCUCUCUGAACAAUAAAUGACUCUUCAAUCAGAAGUUUACUCUAAAACCUUCAGUAAAUAAAUGUCAAAGUCCCUUUUCCUUAAACAGAAACCCUCAAGAUAACCUGAUGCCCCCCCCCAAAAUAACCUUCCCAUAGGUUCCCCUAGAAACUGCUCCAAUUCAGGUUCAGAUUUACUCUUCUUUUAACUUAUGGAAACAAAUAUAGAAUUAUUCUCAAAUAAGGCUUUAAAAAU
This 647-nucleotide long non-coding RNA is filed under the name Rattus norvegicus (Norway rat). RNAcentral describes it as "long non-coding RNA NONRATT031484". Lineage: Eukaryota; Metazoa; Chordata; Mammalia; Rodentia; Muridae. The record is from RNAcentral.